RNAcentral lists this ribosomal RNA (243 nucleotides) under Triticum aestivum (bread wheat). Its description in RNAcentral is "partial small subunit ribosomal RNA". The record is from RNAcentral. Lineage: Eukaryota; Viridiplantae; Streptophyta; Magnoliopsida; Poales; Poaceae.
AUGGCAACGGCGGGCGCGAUGGACGCGGUGUGGCACGUGCGUGGGCAUGGAGAGCCAGAGAGGGAGUGGCCCCGCGGGCGCGGAAGAAGAGCUGAAGGCUCGGGCAUGGGCGCGCAUAGGAGCGGGCAUGUGCCACGGGGUCAAUCCGAGGAGCUCAGUGGCUACCCCUGCAAUGGCCAUGGCGGACGGCGGUUCUCGGCCAUGGCGAAAUACCUAACGAGAGCAAACGAGAGGGGAAAUUAA